GUGUCAGCAGCCGCGGUAAUACGGAGGGUGCAAGCGUUGUUCGGAAUUAUUGGGCGUAAAGAGCGUGUAGGCGGCCUUGUAAGUCAGAUGUGAAAUCCCUUGGCUUAACCAAGGAAGGGCAUUUGAAACUGCUUGGCUUGAGUACGGGAGGGGGAAGUGGAAUUCCCGGUGUAGAGGUGAAAUUCGUAGAUAUCGGGAGGAACACCAGUGGCGAAGGCGGCUUCCUGGACCGAUACUGACGCUGAGACGCGAAAGCGUGGGGAGCAAACAGGAUUAGAUACCCUGGUAGUCCACGCCGUAAACGUUGGGCACUAGGUGUUGUGGGUAUUGACCCCCGCAGUGCCGAAGCUAACGCAUUAAGUGCCCCGCCUGGGGAGUACGGUCGCAAGGCUAAAACUCAAAGGAAUUGACGGGG
RNAcentral lists this ribosomal RNA (415 nucleotides) under uncultured prokaryote. RNAcentral's name for it is "bacterial SSU rRNA". It matches the Rfam family "Bacterial small subunit ribosomal RNA", at positions 505 to 918 of the family's 1533-position model. The record is from RNAcentral.